UUGAUACCUGUUCCAGUAUUAUACACGCUACUCUGAUGACUGGUGAAAAGGCUUGUAAUGCCAUUAGCCAUGCCAUUAGAGGCAUGGGCAGCCUGGGGAAAGCCUGAUAGUCUCAAGACAGACAACGGGCCUGCCUACACUGCAAAGUCCUUUCAGGCAUUUUGCCAGACAAUGCAGGUCAAACAUACUACAGGAUUGCCAUACAAUCCCCAAGGUCAAGGAAUUGUGGAAAGGGUACAUCGUACCUUAAAAGAGCUUAUACAAAA
This 266-nucleotide long non-coding RNA is filed under the name Rattus norvegicus (Norway rat). Its description in RNAcentral is "long non-coding RNA NONRATT010956". The record is from RNAcentral. Lineage: Eukaryota; Metazoa; Chordata; Mammalia; Rodentia; Muridae.